CCUACGGGGGGCUGCAGUAAGGAAUUUUCGUCAAUGGGCGCAAGCCUGAACGAGCAACGCCGCGUGGAGGAUGACGGCCUUCGGGUUGUAAACUCCUUUUCCGGGGGAUGAUUGUGACCGUACCCUGGGAAUAAGGCUCGGCUAACUCUGUGCCAGCAGCCGCGGUAAGACAGAGGAGCCAAGCGUUGUCCGGAUUGACUGGGCGUAAAGCGCACGCAGGCGGUACGGCACGUGGGGUGUGAAAGCGGCCCGCUUAACGGGUCGAGGCCAUCCCAUACGGCCAUACUCGAGAGUGGCAGAGGUUCGUGGAAUUGCCGGUGUAGUGGUGAAAUGCGUAGAGAUCGGCAGGAACACCAAGGGGGAAACCAGCGAACUGGGCCAUGUCUGACGCUCAGGUGCGAAAGCGUGGGGAGCGAACCGGCUUAGAUACCCCUGUAGUC
RNAcentral lists this ribosomal RNA (440 nucleotides) under uncultured bacterium. Its description in RNAcentral is "bacterial SSU rRNA". It matches the Rfam family "Bacterial small subunit ribosomal RNA", at positions 338 to 795 of the family's 1533-position model. The record is from RNAcentral.